UACGUAGGGGGCAAGCGUUGUCCGGAUUUAUUGGGCGUAAAGAGCUUGUAGGCGGCCUGUCAGGUCUGCUGUGAAAACUCGAGGCUCAACCUCGAGAUGUCGGCGGAAACCGUCUGGCUAGAGUCCGGAAGAGGAGAGUGGAAUUCCUGGUGUAGCGGUGAAAUGCGCAGAUAUCAGGAAGAACACCGAUGGCGAAGGCAGCACUCUGGGACGGUACUGACGCUGAGGAGCGAAAGCGUGGGGAGCGAACAGG
Molecule: ribosomal RNA, 253 nt
Filed under: uncultured bacterium
Lineage: Bacteria
Description: partial 16S ribosomal RNA
Rfam family: Bacterial small subunit ribosomal RNA
Source: RNAcentral